Molecule: transfer RNA, 67 nt
Filed under: Rhyacophila kando
Lineage: Eukaryota; Metazoa; Arthropoda; Insecta; Trichoptera; Rhyacophilidae
Description: tRNA-Leu
Source: RNAcentral
ACUAUUUUGGCAGAUUAAUGCAAUAAAUUUAGAAUUUAUUUAUAAAUAAUUUAUUAUUUAAUUAGUA